This 462-nucleotide unclassified non-coding RNA is filed under the name Hevea brasiliensis (rubber tree). Lineage: Eukaryota; Viridiplantae; Streptophyta; Magnoliopsida; Malpighiales; Euphorbiaceae. The record is from RNAcentral.
GCCCCCUUCAUCAUGGUUUAUCUUGUUAAUGAAGAUCAAGCAUCCUUGGUCAAUAUACACAUUAAUUAAAAGUACAGUUUAGCUGCCCAGACAUGAAGUCAAAAACCAACAACUAAAGAGAACAACAUAGCUAAGCAACCAAGAGACAUUACGUGCACAAAAAUCAUCUACGAGAGAGAUGAGAAAAACUAGGCAGGUUUUUCUUUGUACUCAAAAUCUUCGUGAGCUCAAGGAACACUGCAUCAAUAUCGGACAGCGACCCUUCAGAGCUGCAUGGUAUUGGAAUAUUGUUUCUUGCUGAGCACUCGCUUGCAUAAUAAAGAAUCAAAGCCACUAGCUCUGCUGCAAAUCAAUCAGGGUGGGACUGGUCUGACUCUGCUGCUGUUUCCUGUUAAACCAUCAUCUCCAUGUUCCUGGUCCACCAUUUCCCGUAUGAGUGCCCUGAAAACAACUUCAGAGGAA